Molecule: RNA transcript, 16897 nt
Organism: Anguilla anguilla (European eel)
Lineage: Eukaryota; Metazoa; Chordata; Actinopteri; Anguilliformes; Anguillidae
Gene: dnah6
Gene name: dynein, axonemal, heavy chain 6
Exons: 81
Source: RefSeq, a predicted model, not a curated record
UACAACCACCGAUACAGAUGUAUGAACACACAGAGGACAACAAAUAACAUUACAGAGGUGAGGACAUGCCAUAGCUAGCUAGCUAUAUAGUUAGCCAAGUUUUACUCAUGACACUUUUAGGAUAUGACUAAUCCCUGGAACAUAAUCACUACUUACUGAUCCCCGGCUGUAUAUGUAACGCCACGGUGCGCCGUGGGUCUGGAUGUUUUCGUGCUUCUUCUGAGCUAUGCGCCCUCAUUGAAAUGCAUUGAGGCUUGAGGACAGUGCCAGUUAGAAUUUGAAGCAAGCCCACAAUUCCUUCAGGAAUUGUAACCUUUCUAGUUCUUCAUGGAAUGUUUAGCUAUUUCUGACAUAAUGUGGUUGAAGAGAGUAAAUAAUUCCUCUAAACACAAAAAGCACCUAAUUAAGAAAAAUGUACAACUUGUUAUAAUUCUGGAAUUGCAUUUGUGGUUGGAAAGAAAACCAGCAUACACAGGGGUGCUCCAGGACUGAGAUUGGGACCCACUGAACUACAGGAUAGCUGUGACAUGUAGGGAAUGUUUACACAGAUUGUAGGCUGCAUGUUCAUAUUGGUGAAUUCUGCAAAGUGAAUUCUUCAGAUGCCUUACUGAUGACUUUUGUGAAUGAGAUGUGUAAAAAAAAAAAUUAUAUUUUGUAUUUAAAUUCAGACGUUGCUGAUUUUUUUGCAUCUCAGCAGUUUUUCAGUUAUGUCUUGUAUUGAUCUGUGUAUGUACAGUCAUUGUACGUUUGUAAUUUAAUUUGCCUUUGUGGUGGCCUGAUUCGGUCAGUGAAAAUAUUUCACAUCAAAUAAUAAUCAAAGGCUUUUGUUCUGCAUUGAUUUAACCUUACAAUGUUUGUAACAUUAAGGCUCCUCUGUGUUCUUGUAGUGUGCCUAUUUAUGUUUAAGAUAUAUAUGUAUAUAUUAUUUGUUUACUUGUAUCUAUGUAUUGUAUAUUUAUGGUUCUCAGUUAUGUUUCUUCAGCACACAUUAACAUGCAGUGUCUAUAGUUCCCUAAAAUGAUUCAAACACAAUAUUUUCAAACCCUUUUGAAGUUACUCAUUGCAGUAACAGUUGUAAACCAUUUUCGUUGCCUAAUAUUAUGGCCGGUCAAGAUUUUCUCUCUGCAUUCAAGAAUUUAUGUUCCAAGUGGAAUUCCAGAAUGUUUCAUUUGUCAAAACUAGCACAUUUAGUAGUAGCUGAUGAUAUAGGGAUAUUUGUUCUUUGUCUUAAUGGAACUGGACAAGUCACUUCUGAAAGGUACAGGUUUUCACCAAUACAUUCACCUGCUGUAAAUGGCAUACAGUAUGCUGCUGGUGAACAUGUAAAUUUCUAGUCUUACUUUGGAAGACAUGUUUAUAUACUACUGUAUGGAACACAACAAGACCCCCUAUCUACAAUUUGUUUGGAAUGUUCCAUUUUUCUUAGUCGUAAUUUCUCUUUUUGGUCAUGUUUUCUUUUCUGUUUCGUCAUGUCUGGUUUUGGACUUGGAAAUAAAGUGCCAUUUUAUUGUUGCUACAAGUAAGCUGUCUUGCAAUGUUUGUGUAUUGCCAAGUGCCAGGUCUGUUGCAUAAUUGUAAGUAGCCUAGAAGCAAGAGUUCAGCUUCUUUAUUGCUAUGGCUAGAUGGUCAUCUCUCCCCUUUGGUUAUGCAAAGUCAUGUGAUUGUUGGUCCUCCUUUAUCAUUUUGCUGCUUUUAUUUGUUUGAUUUUGAGUUACCACUAGAGGGUGUAUUGCACUUUGCUAUGUUUGUUGAUGCUGACAGAACUUAUGUGAAUUUGCUUUCUGGUCAUUCUGGGUUUUUUGUUUUUUGUUGUUGUUGUCAUAUUUAGUAGGAUUCUCUGUUCGUGAUCAAUAUCUGUGUGAAAAGUCUUGGUAAGUCUCUGAGUUUAGAAACUUGCAUUCCAGGGUAGAUAAAUAUGAAUGGAUAUCACAUUAUCCCGUCUUUUGAACACAGACUUCCUCAUUAGGUAAGUUAUAUUCUGGAAGUUCUCAUUUUCUAUCCCUAUUGAAGCAGGCUGUUCUGACAUGGCUGUGGAUUUUUUUCCAGGACACAAGGGCCUGUACUUCCCUUUGCUGUUGGAAAGGCAUUAAAACACAUUUUAUCUGCAAGUCCUGGGUGCCGGCAAGACUGCUGCUCUACUACAAUGGCCACCAAGGGGCGCCAAAGGGCAGAAGCAUUGUGGAGCUCAAACCACUUCUUCCUCUAUUCCCCCAGUGCCUGAAAGAGCACUCAUCAGAGAUCAGUGGAGUUUGGGAGGGGCGAGCUGUUUUAGCACUCUCUAGGGGAGGCUGCGAUGUCGUCCCUUUCCCAAAGAGGGCGUCACAGCCCGGCUGCGAAGUGGGGGGCAGAGGGCCAGCCGUGUGCAGAGACGGAGCACCUGAAAGUUCCGCUGGGGCGCAUUGAUGUUGAUCUGCUCCAGGCCAGGCUGGUCUGCGCUGGCCCGAGCCAGGCCCGUCGCAGCCCAGCAGCCCCUACCUUCACUCCCAGAACUCUCAGGGUGGAAAGAGAGCGCCCCCUUCAGGUGGAGAUCCUGCCUGCUCUGAAGAAGAACCAGGAGCAGCGGCGGCCCGAGUACAUCCACAGGAAGAACCGGGAAAGGCUGCUGAGCAUGGGCUGGAAGCCCCCCUCCGCCUCUUGGCCUGUGGAGAAGCGGCCGUCCACAGUGCACCUGCCCGAGCUCCCGGACCACGUGAAGGAAAAGCAGGUGCAGCUGAGCGGGCUGCAUUCCCCCUCUCCGCCGAAAAAAAGGCCUCGCUCCAGGUCCUCGGCCGGCGCGACCCCGAGCCCGGCCCCCGGCGAGCCCGCGCCCAGCCCUCUGGUGUUCUCCACAGCGGAGCAGGCCAUCAGGGCGCACGUCAGCGGGCCCCUGGACAUCAUCCGCACCGUCCGCAACAACCCCCGCAUCGGCUUCUUCUACCUGAGCUCGGACGUGCCCGUCUCCUCCCCCAAAUACGACGCCUUCAACCUCAAGAUCGUGGGCUACGAGAGCAUCAACAAGGCGGACUACUACACCAUCAGCCUGACGGGCGUGACGCACAUCUGCCACGGCGAGGCGGAGCUGCUGACGCUGGAGCGCUGGCAGCACGAGUACCAGUGCCACCGGCGGCUCCAGUGCAUCCCGCUCUUCGCCCGCUUCCGCCGCUGGAAGGCCUUCCGCGUGUGGCGCACCAACGUGCGCACCAAGAGCAUGAGCAAGUGCAAGCAGCUGCUCCAGCGCAACCUGUUCGUCGUCAACCAGUCUCUGCGGCCGGCGCUGAUCGACGUCCGUGAGAUGUGCUACCGGAUCAGUGACAUGGGGCUGUGCCGCAUUGAGGUGGGGCACACCUACACUCUGGAGGAGUUCAGGCAGGCGCAGUACCAGCAGCUGCAAGAGGUGUCUGCUCGCUUGAAGGAGUUCAGGGAGCUGGUGAAGGAGGUGGUGAGGAGCGCCUGUCGCACUGCUCUGCUGGAGGCAGGCUUCAUCCCAGACUCCUGCACUUAUGACUCUGAGGCCCCAGGGGACGAGCAGGAGAUGGAGCUGCUGUACAAGGAAGCGCCCGAGAAGAUGGGCUACACCGAGCAAGCCAUCAAGAGGAACCACUGCAAGAGGCUGACCUGCUUCAUCCGGCUUGCUGACUUCAUGAUUGUGAACACGAUGCACAUCCUGGUUGUGAACUCCAUCAGCACACUGCUCAACGUCCUGAAUGAUCAGGUCCAGUGCACCCCUUCAAAGGAGGUCAUCCAGUGCUGGGACGUCCCGGAGGAAAACUCAGAGAAGAAGAGCGCCAGUGCUGCCCCGUCCAUGUUCGUGACACAGCUGAUGCUGGACACCUACGCCCUCUCAUACGAGCCGUCAUUGGACCAAUUUCAGACCUGCAUUGCUGAAAUCAUCCAGUGCUUCCAGGACACGGUGCUGGGUCUAGACCCCUUAGUGCCCGACGCCUUCUUCCACGCCUUCACCCAGCCAAUAAUAUACAACAAGGUGGAGGAGAAGACGUGUGGCGAUGGGCCCAGCAUGGAGGCGAUCCUGGAGGAAGACAAGCACCUGCACACCAUCAUCCAGAACAUAACGGAAGUCCUGGAGUUUGCUUUUGAUGCAGCGGACAUGUACGCCGAGACCUUCGAGAGAUUCCGCAUCUACUACAAGGAGAACGAGAGCCUGGAUCUCUACAGUCUCAGAGAGCAGGAGCACGAUGUGGCCUUCUUUGGGGAGCAGCUGGAGAGGUACCACUGUGAGCACAAAGAGGCCCUGGCCAUUAUACAGAAGAGGCAGAUUGGCCUGCUGCUCAUCGACUCCACUCAGCUGAAGGCCAAGCUCAUCCCAUCCCCAUUACGCUGCUUAGAGACCAUCAAUGACAUGCUGCCAACUUUGGCCAAGAAGAUGAUGGAUGACAUCAUUGCCGAAGCCCAGAAGGCUCGGUAUAAACUGGUUUCCACCCCCUCGGCAACCGCAGAGUUCGUCCAGUCCUUGGAUUUCCUGGAGGAGAUCACAGAUCGGAUUGAGGUACUGGACAAGCAGACGGAGACGGUGUCGCAGAUGUUCGAGCUGAUCGAGCACUACCACGUCCCCACGCCGCCCGAGGACAUGGCCACCUACGCCACCCUGAGGCCGUCCAUCACGCGCGUGCGCAACGCCAUCGACAAGGCCGUGGGCGAGAAGGACGGCAACAUCAACAAGUUCUGCCAGCACCUGCAGCAGGACAUCACAGAGCUCAACAAGGAAGUGAAGAGGGUCAAGGAGCAGGCACAGAACAGGCUGAUCUUGGACAUCGGUGCGGAGAGGGAGAAGGUGAAGACGCUGCUGCAGGGGAUCCAGGUCUCCAUCAACGACCUGCAAGCUCAGGCCCUCCAGUUCAAGACUUACCAGAAGAACUUCAAGGUGGAGGUGACGAAGUACGAAGCUCUGGAGGAGCUGAGCGCGGAGGUGAAGCUGAAGCAGCUCCUCUGGGACUCCAUGGAGGAGUGGGAGAGCUUGCAGGCAGGCUGGAUGGAGAGCAUGUUUGAGGAGCUGGAUCCGGAGGACCUGAACGCCCAGGUGAUGAGGUUUGUGAAGUGCGUGACGCAGCUGGAGAAGGGCCUGCCGCCCAACAGUGUGGUGCCCAAGCUGAAGGAGCAGGUGGAGAGCAUGAGAGCCAAGCUGCCAGUAAUCUCUGACCUGAGGAACCCGGCCCUGAAGCCUCGGCACUGGGACAUGCUGGAGCGGGUGGUCAAUGCCAGCCUGGUGGAGGAGCCCCUCACGCUGGCCGCCCUGCAGGAGCUCAACAUCUUCAGCUUCGACGCAGAGAUCCAGGAAGUGUCUGGCCAAGCUUCGGGAGAGGCGUCGCUGGAGUCCAUCCUGAAAAAGGUGGAGGACUCAUGGAAGACCACAGAGUUUGUGGUGCUCUCCCAUCGGGAGUCCAAGGACGUGUUCAUCCUCGGGGGCACGGACGAGAUUCAGGUCCUCCUGGACGACAGCACCAUCAACGUGUCGACCGUGGCGUCCUCGCGCUACGUGGGUCCCAUCAAGUCUCGAGUGUCCGACUGGCAGAAGCAGCUGGGCCUCUUCAAUCACACUCUGGACGAGUGGCUGACGUGCCAGCGGAACUGGCUCUACCUGGAGAGCAUCUUCAGCGCCCCGGACAUCCAGAGGCAGCUGCCGGCCGAGGCCAAAAUGUUCCUGCAGGUGGACAAGUCCUGGAAGGAGAUCAUGAGGAAGGUGCACCGCCUGCCCAACGCCCUGCGGGCCGCCACUAAGCCAGGUCUGUUGGAAGUCUUCCAGAACAACAAUGCUUUAUUGGACCAGAUACAGAAAUGCCUAGAGGCGUAUUUGGAGUCCAAGAGGGUCAUCUUUCCCAGGUUCUACUUCCUGUCAAACGACGAGCUGCUGGAGAUCCUGGCCCAGACCCGGAACCCGCAGGCCGUGCAGCCUCACCUGCGCAAGUGCUUUGACGCCAUCGCCCGCCUGGAGUUCGCCCUGCUGCCCCCCCAGCCCGCCGGCCCCCAGGGGGCCCCCCCUGAGGGAGAGGCAGAGAAGGUCUACAGCAACGACAUCCUGGCCAUGGUGUCCCCCGAGGCCGAGAGGGUGGGCCUGGGGAAAGGCCUGAAGGCUCGUGGGAAUGUGGAGGACUGGCUGGGCAAGGUGGAGGAAGCCAUGUUCUCCUCCCUGAGACGUCUCACCAAGGCCUCCAUUGCCGACUACCAGAACAAGCCCAGGGUGGAGUGGGUGGUGGCGGGUCACCCUUCCCAGGUCGUGCUCACUGUUUCCCAGCUGAUGUGGUGCCGCGACAUGGACAACUGUCUGGAAGGAGACCACGACCACUUUGAAGCGUUGCAGGAAUUUGAAGUCAUCAAUGUUGAGAGACUGAACAACCUGGCUGCGCUGGUGCGCGGGCAACUUCCCAGCCUGCACCGCAACAUCAUCACCGCGCUCAUCACCGUGGACGUGCACGCCCGCGACAUCGUCACCGACCUCGUCAAGCAGAAGGUGGAUUCAGGCAGUAACUUUGAGUGGCAGAGACAGCUGCGGUAUUACUGGGACAUGGAUUUGGACAACUGUGUGGCCAGGAUGGCACUGUCCCAGUACAUCUACGGCUAUGAGUACCUGGGCGCCUGUCCCAGACUUGUCAUCACGCCCCUCACUGACCGCUGCUACCUGUGCCUCAUGGGGGCGCUGCAGCUGGACCUGGGGGGAGCCCCUGCCGGGCCGGCAGGAACGGGCAAGACCGAGACCACCAAGGAUCUGGCCAAGGCGCUGGCCAUUCAGUGCGUGGUCUUCAACUGCUCCGACGGGCUGGACUACAAGAUGAUGGGUCGGUUCUUCAGUGGUCUGGCUCAGUCGGGGGCGUGGUGCUGCUUUGACGAGUUCAACCGCAUUGAUAUCGAGGUGCUGUCCGUCAUCGCCCAGCAGCUCAUCACCAUCCGCAACGCCAAGGCCGCCAAGAUGAGCAGGUUCAUGUUCGAGGGCCAGGAGAUAAAGCUGGUCAUGACCUGCGCUGCCUUCAUCACCAUGAACCCCGGAUACGCCGGCCGCACCGAGCUGCCCGACAACCUGAAGGCCCUUUUCAGGCCCAUCGCCAUGAUGGUGCCCAACUACGCCCUGAUCGCUGAGGUCAUCCUGUACUCAGAGGGCUUUGAGUCCAGUAAGACUCUGGCCCGGAAGAUGACCCAAAUGUACAAGCUGUGCAGCGAGCAGCUCUCCCAGCAGGACCACUAUGACUUUGGCAUGCGGGCCGUUAAGUCUGUGCUCGUCAUGGCUGGGUCCCUGAAGAGAGAGAACCCACACCUGUCUGAAGACGUGGUCCUCAUCCGUGCGCUGCGAGACUCAAACCUGCCCAAGUUCCUUACAGACGACGCUGUCCUCUUUGGGGGCAUCCUGUCGGACCUGUUCCCGGGCGUCUCCAUCCCGGAGCACGACUACGGCGUCCUGCAGUCCACCAUCGAGGAGGCGCUGGUGAAGCGGCGCCUGCAGCCGCUGCCCAGCAUCACGCACAAGGUGAUCCAGCUGUACGAGACCAUGAUCGUGCGCCACGGCGUCAUGCUGGUGGGCCCCACGGGCGGCGGCAAGACCACCGUCUACACCGUCCUGGCCGACGCCCUGGAGGAGCUGCACCGCCUGGGCCACCAGAACCCCUUCUACCAGCCGGUCAAGACCUACGUGCUCAACCCCAAGUCGGUGACCAUGGGCGAGCUGUACGGCGAGGAGAACCCGCUGACCAUGGAGUGGCGGGACGGCCUGAUGGCGCUGAGCGUGCGCGCGGGCGUCAACGACACCACCGACGACCACAAGUGGGUGGUCAGCGACGGGCCCGUGGACGCCCUGUGGAUCGAGAACAUGAACACCGUGCUGGACGACAACAAGAUGCUGUGUCUGGCCAACAGCGAGAGGAUCAAGCUCACUCCCUCCAUCCACAUGGUGUUUGAGGUCCAGGAUUUGGCAGUUGCUUCUCCAGCCACGGUCAGUCGUUGUGGGAUGGUCUAUAUCGACUCCAGUGAACUCAAGUGGAUGCCGUAUGUUCAGACCUGGAUCAAGGGAUUGCCAGAGAAUCUGACCGAGGACAUGCAGACCUACCUGCUGGGCCUGUUUGAGCGGUACGUGGAGGCAGGCCUGAAGUUUGUGAGUAAGAACUGCGUCCAGGCCAUGGGGCAGGUGGACAUCAGCAAGGUGACCACCCUGUGCUGCCUGCUGGAGGCUCUGCUGCUAGGCCCAGGAGGACCUAACCUCAGACUGGGUCUGAAUAAGCUGAACAGUGUCCUGUGCCAGACCUUUGUGUUCUGCUAUCUGUGGGCAGUGGGCGGGAACCUGACUGACAGUUGCUGGGAUGAUUUUGACAACUUCAUCAGGCAGCAGUUUGAGGACAACAACGACGCCAUGCUGCCCAGCACAGGGGACCUGUGGAGUGUGUACAUGGACUUCUCUCUCAACCGCCUGGAGCCCUGGGAGAAGGUGAUCCCCUCCUUCCAGUACAACAGCGAGAUUCCCUUUUUCGAGAUGCUGGUGCCCACCACGGACACGGUGCGCUACGGCUACCUGAUGGAGAAGCUGCUGUCCGUGCGUCACUCCGUCCUCUUCACCGGGCUCACCGGCGUGGGGAAGUCAGUAGUGGCUCGUGGACUGCUGAACAGAAUCCAGGAGAAGGCCGGGUACAUCCCCAUCUACAUCAACUUCUCCGCCCAGACCUCCUCCGCUCGGACACAGGAGAUGAUCGAGUCCAAGCUGGAGAAGAAGAGGAAGAACGUGCUGGGGGCGCCCACCGGGAAGAAACUGGUGGUGUUCGUGGACGACCUCAACAUGCCCAAACUGGACAGCUACGGCUCCCAGCCUCCCAUAGAGCUCCUGCGGCAGUUCCAGGACUUCCGCGGCUUCUACGACAGGGAGAAGUUCUACUGGAAGGCCAUUCAGGAUAUGACGAUCGCCGCAGCCUGUGCCCCCCCGGGCGGCGGCCGCAACCCCGUCACGCCGCGCUUCCUGCGCCACUUCAGCAUGCUGUGCCUGCCCACGCCCUCCGAGCACAGCCUCAAGCAGAUCUUCAAGGCCAUCCUGUGCGGGUUCCUGGCGGACUUCCCUGUGGCGGUGAAGCAGACGGCGGACAACAUCGUGGAGGCGGCGGUGGAGAUGUACCACCGCAUGAGCGUGGACCUGCUGCCCACGCCCGCCAAGUCCCACUACGUCUUCAACCUGCGGGACCUCUCCAAGUGUGUGCAGGGGAUGCUGCAGUGUGACUCCAGCAGUGUGCGGGACCAGACCCAGAUCUUCCGCCUCUUCUGUCACGAGUGCCAGAGGGUUUUCCACGACCGGCUCAUCAACAACGAAGACAAGACCUACUUCAACACCAUGGUCGCAGAGAUGGCCAGCAAACAUUUUGGGAUUAACCUGGAGCCCAGUUACUUUGUGACCCAGCCCAUCAUCUUUGGGGAUUUCAUUAAGAUGGGGCAAGACAUGGCAGACCGCGUAUAUGAAGACCUGAAGGACAUAGAGAAGAUUCGCUCUGUUCUGCAGGAGUACUUAGACGAUUACAACAUGACGAACUCCAAGGAGACCAAGCUGGUGUUUUUCCAAGAUGCCAUUGAGCAUGUCUCAAGGAUCGCCCGCAUGAUUCGCCAGGAGCGGGGCAACGCCCUGCUGGUGGGCGUGGGCGGCACGGGCAAGCAGUCCCUGACCCGGCUGGCGGCCCACAUGUGCGGCUACCGCUGCUUCCAGAUCGAGCUCUGCCGCGGCUACAACUACGUCAGCUUCCACGAGGACCUGCGCAAGCUGUGCAAGAUGGCCGGCGUGGAGGGCAAGGACACCGUCUUCCUCUUCACCGACACCCAGAUUGUAGUGGAAGAGUUCUUGGAGGACAUAAACAACAUGCUGAACUCAGGGGAGGUGCCCAACCUUUUUGAGAAGGACGAGCUGGAGCAGGUGCUGGCAGCCACCCGUCCCAAAGCCAAGGAAGCUGGCAUCGCCGAGGGCAACCGCGAUGAGGUGUUCCAGUUCUUCAUCUCUCGCGUGCGUGAGAAGCUGCACAUCGUGCUGUGCAUGAGCCCCGUGGGAGACGCCUUCAGAGCUCGCUGCAGAAUGUUCCCCUCGCUGGUCAACUGCUGCACCAUCGACUGGUUCGUCCAGUGGCCCCGGGAGGCCCUGCACUCGGUCUCCCAGUUCUUCUUCCAGAACGUGGAGCUGGGGAGCGAGGAGAUGAAGGAGCGCUUCUCGGAGAUGUGCGUGGAGAUCCACGUGAGCGUUGAAGAGCUGGCCGAGCGGUUCUACUCGGAGCUGCGGCGUCGCUACUACACCACGCCCACCUCCUACCUGGAGCUCAUCAACCUCUACCUGUCCAUGCUGGAGGGCAAGAGGCAGGAGCUGGUGGCGGCCCGUGACCGUGUGAAGAAUGGGCUGACCAAACUCCUGGAGACCAAUGAGCUUGUGGACAAGAUGAAGGUGGAUCUGUCAGCCCUGGAGCCUGUCCUCAAACAGAAGUCCAUCGACGUCAACGCUCUGAUGGCCAAACUGGCUGUGGACCAAGAGAAGGCAGAUCAGGUCCGCAGCGUGGUCAAGGACGACGAGGCUUUGGCCAAGGUGAAGGCAGAGGACACCCAGGCCAUCGCGGACGAUGCCCAGCGGGACCUGGACGAGGCUCUGCCCGCCUUGGACAGCGCCAACGUUGCGCUCAACGCCCUGGACAAGGCGGACAUCUCCGAAAUCCGCGUGUUCACCAAACCGCCCGACAUGGUCAUGACCGUUAUGGAAGCUGUCUGCAUUCUGCUCAACAGCAAACCAGACUGGACCAGCGCUAAGCAGGUGCUGGGCGACUCCUACUUCCUGAAGAAGCUGAUGGACUACGACAAGGAGAACAUCAAGCCGCAGGUCCUGCAGAAGCUGCAGCGCUACGUGAACAACCCUGACUUUGUGCCGGAGAAGGUGGAGAAGGUGUCCAAGGCCUGCCGCUCCAUGUGCAUGUGGGUGCGGGCCAUGGACCUCUACUCCCGCGUCCUGAAGGAAGUGGGGCCCAAAAGGGAGAAGCUGGCUGCCGCACAGGCGGAACUGGAUGUCGUGAUGUCCACUCUCAGAGAGAAGCAGGCCAAGCUCCAGGAGGUGGAGGACCAGAUCAAGGUUCUGCAGGACCAGUUUGACAGCAGCGUGUCGGAGAAAGAGACGCUGGCGAAGACCAUGGCGCUGACGGAGACGCGGCUGGGCCGGGCGGGGAAGCUGACGGCCUCGCUGGGGGACGAGCAGGUGCGCUGGCAGGAGAGCAUCGCCCUGUUCGAGCAGGAGAUCACCAACGUCAUCGGCAACGUCUUCAUCGGCGCCGCGUGCGUGGCCUACUACGGGGCCUUCACCUCGCACUACCGCCAGCUGCUGAUUGACCAGUGGACGUCCCGGUGCCAAGAGCUGGGGAUACCCAUCAGUGACAGCUUCAGCCUCAUCAACAUCCUUGGCGACCCCUACGAGAUCCGCCAGUGGAAUGCAGAAGGGUUGCCCCGGGAUACGGUCUCCACGGAGAAUGGCAUCCUGGUGACUUGCGGUCGCCGGUGGCCGCUCAUGAUUGACCCCCAGGACCAGGCCAACCGCUGGAUCCGCACCAAGGAGACCAAAAACGGGCUGUCGGUGAUCAAGCUGACCGACUCGGGCUUCCUGCGCACGCUGGAGAACGCCAUCCGCCUGGGCCUGCCUGUGCUGCUGGAGGAGCUGAAGGAGACGCUGGACCCGGCGCUGGAGCCCAUCCUGCUGAAGCAGACCUACGUUUCGGGCGGGCGCACGCUCAUUCGCCUGGGAGACUCGGACGUCGACUACGACAAGAACUUCCGCUUCUACAUGACCACCAAAAUGGCCAACCCCCAUUACCUGCCGGAGGUCUGCAUCAAAGUGACCAUCAUAAACUUCACUGUGACCAAGUCAGGGCUGGAGGACCAGCUCCUGAGCGACGUCGUCCGCCUGGAGCGGCCGGACCUGGAGGAGCAGCGCAACGAGCUGAUCGUGUGCAUCAACGCCGACCGCACCCAGCUGAAAGCCAUCGAGGACCGCAUCCUCAAGCUCCUGUUCACCUCCGAGGGAAACAUCCUGGACAACGAGGAGCUGGUCCAGACCCUGCAGGAGUCCAAGGUGACAUCAGGAGCCAUCAAGAGCCGGCUGGAGGAGGCGGAGUCCACAGAGCUGAUGAUUGACGCCGCUCGGGAGAAGUACAGAGCCGUGGCCACACGCGGCUCCAUCAUGUACUUUGUCAUUGCCAGCCUCUCUGAGAUCGACCCCAUGUACCAGUUCUCCCUGAAGUACUUCAAACAGCUGUUUAACACCACCAUCGAGACGUCGGAGAAGAACGACGAGCUGAGCGUGCGUCUGCAGACCCUGCUGGACCAGACGCUGCUCACCUCCUACACCAACGUGUCCCGCGGGCUCUUCGAGCGCCACAAGGCCAUCUACAGCUUCAUGCUGUGCGUGGAGAUCAUGCGCGAGCGGGGGGAGGUGUCCGACGUGGAGUGGCAGUACCUGCUCCGGGGCAGCGUGGGCGUCGACAAGGAACGCGACGGUAAGCCAGACGUCCCCUGGCUGUCGGACGAGGACUGGAAGACCUGCUGUGACCUGGAGGACGUAGUGCCCUGCUUCAAGGGCAUCAAGAAGGAGAUUGUGGCCACGCCCAUCUCCGUCAUGCUGGGGCGUCUGAAGGUCAGUGUGAACCCGGAGUCCUGGGAGGGCUACGUCACUGAGCUGCCCCCCUACUCAGAGGACCCAGAGCAGCAGACCGACCUCAUCCGGGGCCACUGGAACCAGAGGCUGGGCGCCUUUCAGAAGCUCAUCCUCAUCAAGAGCUUCAUGGAGGAAAAGGUGGUGUUUGCCGUGACCGAGUUCGUCAUCGUGGCCUUGGGAAAGCAGUUUGUGGAGAACCCUCCUGUGGACCUGGCCACCCUCUACAGCGACAUGUCCCCCUCCACCCCGCUGGUGUUCAUCCUCAGCACCGGCUCUGACCCCAUGGGGGCCUUCCAGAGGUUCGCCAAGGAGAGAGGCUACAUGAACAGGGUGGAGUCUAUAUCGCUGGGUCAGGGACAGGGUCCUAUAGCAGAGAAGAUGAUCUUGGCCGCGAUGAAGUCAGGGAAUUGGAUCUUCCUGCAGAACUGUCACCUGGCUGUGUCCUGGAUGCUGGCCAUGGAGGAGCUCAUCAAGACCUUUGCUGAGCCUGAUACGGUCAUCCAUGACGACUUCAGGCUGUUUCUCAGUUCCAUGCCCACCCCCGUGUUUCCAGUGACGGUGCUGCAGAACUCCGUUAAGGUGACCAACGAGCCUCCGAAGGGCCUUCGGGCGAACGUGCGGAGAGCCUUCACAGAGAUCACCUGCAGCUUCUUUGAGGAGCACAUUCUGGGGCGGCCGUGGAGGAAGAUCAUCUUCGGGGUGUGCUUCUUCCACGCCAUCAUCCAGGAAAGGAAAAAGUUUGGGCCCCUGGGGUGGAACAUCCGGUACGAGUUUAACGACAGCGACAGGGAGUGCGCUCUGCUCAACCUCAACCUGUACUGCCAGUCCGGCAGCAUCCCCUGGGACGCGCUCAUCUACAUCACAGGGGAGAUCACGUAUGGGGGGCGUGUGACGGACGCUUGGGACCAGCGCUGCCUUCACACCAUCCUCAAGGGCUUUUUCUCUCCACCCACACUGGAGGACGGCUACACUUACUCCAAAUCAGGGAUAUAUUUUGCUCCUGAGGCAGACAGUUUGCAAGAUUACAGGGAGUACAUUGAAAACCUUCCUCUGAUUGAUGACCCUGAGAUCUUUGGAAUGCAUGAGAAUGCCAAUCUGGCUUUCCAGCGGCAGGAGACCAUGACCGUUAUCAACACGAUUCUGGAGGUGCAGCCGAGGUCAUCCGCGCAGGGCGGAGGGAAGAGCAACGAUGAGAUCGUGCACGAGCUCGCCGACGCCAUACUGGCCAAAGUCCCAGUGAAGCUGGACAUGGACCAGGCUAUAGAGAGUCUCUUUCUGAAAGAUGCCAACGGCCGCCUCAACUCGCUCACCACCGUGCUGGGACAGGAAGUGGACCGCUUCAACAACCUGCUCCGAGUGCUGCGGACAUCUCUGUGCACCUUGCAGAAAGCCAUCGCAGGGCUGGUGGUGAUGUCCGAGGAGAUGGAGCGGAUCUACAACAGCUUCCUCAACAACCAGGUGCCCAGCCACUGGGGCAACUCUGCAUACCCCUCCCUGAAGCCUCUGGGCAGCUGGGUGAAAGACCUGUCCCUCCGGACCAGCUUCAUAGAGAGCUGGAUCACAAGGGGUCCGCCUCGGUCCUUCUGGAUCUCUGGAUUUUUCUUUCCCCAAGGCUUUCUCACUGGGGCGUUACAGAACCACGCCCGAGCCUACAACCUGCCCAUCGACGAGCUCAAUUUCCGAUUCAACAUGGUGCCUGUCUAUCGGGACCAGAACGCGGUCUGCGAGGCCCUGAGGACUCUGCCGGACGGCACUGAGCUGGAGAUGGACGCUGAGUUACCCAUUCCUGAGGAUGGAGUGCUGGUCCAUGGCAUGUUCAUGGACGCUAGCCGCUGGGACGAUGACAACAUGGUGAUAGCGGACGCGUUGCCGCGGGUGAUGAACCCCAUGCUGCCGGUGGUGCACUUUGAGCCUCAGCAGAACUACGAGCCGGACGGGUCCCUGUACCACGCCCCGCUGUACAAGACCUCCGCCCGCGCUGGGACUCUGUCCACCACAGGUCACUCAACCAACUUUGUGGUGACUGUCAUGCUGCCCUCCAGUCGGCCCAGUGACUACUGGAUAUCAAAAGCCUCCGCUUUACUCUGUCAGCUUAACGAGUGACACAGCGCUUCUGUACUGCUCAACUUUCUCAAUGUCUCUUGUAAGUUUGCUUUUAUUAAAGUGCGCGUUUUGGUUUUGUGUCUGUUUUUUGUUCUGAAUUCACAUGGUGUACGGUGUAAUGUGUGUUGGUACCUACUGAAGAUAGAGGGGGGGGGGGGGCAGCCAGAAAUGUUCUCUCUCUUGCUCUCUCUCGUUCUCUCUCUCUCUGCUCCAACACCUCCACCGUUCCUCCUCCACUCCUCCGGGGGGCCAGCGCCCCCCUUCUACCCCUCCCGUAACGUUGGCACACUUACCCUUUGAGCCACUCCAGCACCCAAGCUACCCACCUCUUAUUCAGCAAUAUAAAGCGUACAGUGUGAAACAUCCAAGACAAACAUGAAGGGGACCCGGGAAUCGAACCGGGAACCUUGGCAUUGAAAGACAACGGCGAUACCGUUGCGCCACCUACAUCGUCGUAGACACACGGCUGCUUCAGAGGGUAGAAGAAGAUGAGAUCACAGACACCCAAGACACACCUGAAUGAGAUGCAGGAAACGAACACAGAAACGCUUUCAGGUGCGCAUGAUGGUGAUUAGACAUUCCUUGGGGCGGGCGCGGUCUGGAGCCUAUCCAAGCAUGCAGUGAGUGAGAUGCAGGAUUGUACUCUCAACAGGUCUCCAAUCCAUUGCAAGGCAGGCCCACACACCACUUAAGUUUCACUUAACCACCGUGCCAUCCCAAACAUGUUUAUUUCAGAGUGACACACAACAAUAUAAAAUGCAUACAAAUAGUCAUUAGGCACUGGGUGUGAUAGGAGUGGACCAAAGUUGAGCCUAAAAUUGGGCGCAGCAUUAAAAUUGGUGUAUUAAUCCAGUAAUGUUUUCUCAGAUUCAUACCUUUCCACAAUUAAGAUAAUUAAAAAGCUGUCUACAUAAGAACUUCCCUAGUUUGAGUAUUGCCUUAAUCGGGUUCAACUCUGAUUUUAGUGUGCAUGUAUAGCCGAGAUCUGUGUUUUUCUGCGCUUAAAUGGUGAUUAAUGGCAGGUGAGCGGAUGAGAGGCUGCUCUGUUGCGAGUGCGCUUUUUUUCCACAAGAGGGAGCCAAAUCUAUUGACUUGUACCCUGCAAUAAUUCAGCCAGUGCAUUUCUGCAUGAGCUCUUCCUAGUCGUUUAAUACAGAUGCUCCGACUUAAGCUUACAUUUUCCCCAUAGGGAUUUAAUUUUUUGCCGAAAAUAAGGUCUGUGGUUAACGCAAGUCUAGGAGAGGUCCACGUUUUGUUCUACGAGAUAAAUUACAACCAUUAUUAUCACCACCGUGGAUUUCUAAGCUGUUACGUGCUUUUAAUAGCAUGGGAUUUGUAGUCAAUAAGUAGUUGUGAUCGCUAAAUCGGAUCUGACGUUGGACUUCGAAAGGCAAUGUGCUGCACAACAAUGCUCGACCGAAAGGUAAAUGCAUGUUUUGUUGCAAACCAAAGUUAACUGUAAUGGUUGCCAGCUAACUUGAACUUUACUUGGAAAUACACUUCUCUUUGGUGUCCGAUGUUGUCCUUACAUUGCAUCAAUAAAUGAGUAAGCUAGCGAGCUGUGUAGAUAACAUUAACUAGAUAGCCAACCAGCUACUUAACGUAAGCGAACUAGUUUGUUGUAAGCAGCCAUGCCACUCCACUCCUGUUAAUGUGGCUAAUGUUUAAUGCUUCUGGUCACGUCGUGAAGUAUGCAAGUCUUUUGAGAGAGCUUUUUGUUUAAAUCAUUCUCGUUGUAAGCCACUGUCAGUUUAGCUAACUAAACAUGAUGGCAGGCAUGUUUGCUUUCUCUGGCUGUCCCUCUAAUUUAUAUAAAUUGGUUAGCAGGCAUGUUUACAGUGAUGCACUUCAGUUAGCAGCAAUAACUAGCUGGUUUCCUUGGCUGAAUUGAUUGGUCUGAUAUUUUUGUGACUACAGCUUACAGUUAAUGUACGGAUUUGGCUAAAUGUUGCAUCUGUCGUGUCAGGCAUUAUUCCAUCAUGAUGUUCCAGACUUUCCAGAUUUCAUACCGUCUUAUUACUGUGGUCAAAUAUAAGUACUGUACGUAUAGUGUAUGUUGUACGUACAGUAGUGGUCACAACUGACAGCCCUGUUUCGUAGAUUGAAUGGAUGUGAAAUUGUGCCAUUUGUAGAUAUAGAGACUUGUGGAUUGUUAAAUUAAAUAUUUAUAUCUUU